UUGACUGUGCUAAGGUAGCAUAAUAAUUUUUUUUUUAAUUGAAAGGUUGGAUGAAUGAGUUAACGAAACUAGUGCUGUGCCUAUUUUUUUUAAAAUUUUCUUUGGAGGUAAGAAAGCUUUCAGGUUUUAAUGGGACGAUAAGACCCUAAAAACUUUAAUAUUAAUUUAUUUUAUAUAAGUUAUGUGUUUAGCUGGGGCGGUUAUAUUUUUAAUACAUAUAUUGAAUAGAUAUUAUGUAAAAUUGGUAAUGAUCUUUGAUGAAUUAAGAGAAAUUACUCUAGGGAUAACAGCAUAAUUUUAUUGGAAAGUUCAAAUUGAUAAGAUAGUUUGUGACCUCG
This 338-nucleotide ribosomal RNA is filed under the name Sphaeromides virei montenigrina. Its description in RNAcentral is "partial 16S ribosomal RNA". The record is from RNAcentral. Lineage: Eukaryota; Metazoa; Arthropoda; Malacostraca; Isopoda; Cirolanidae.